UACGUAGGGUGCAAGCGUUAAUCGGAAUUACUGGGCGUAAAGCGCACGCAGGUGGCUGAGUCAGUCGAUUGUGAAAGCCCUGGGCUUAACCUGGGAAUUGCAGUCGAUACUACUCAGCUAGAGUAUGGGAGAGGGUAGUGGAAUUCCCGGUGUAGCGGUGAAAUGCGUAGAUAUCGGGAGGAACAUCAGUGGCGAAGGCGGCUACCUGGCCCAAUACUGACGCUCAGGUGCGACAGCGUGGGGAGCAAACAGG
RNAcentral lists this ribosomal RNA (253 nucleotides) under uncultured bacterium. Its description in RNAcentral is "partial 16S ribosomal RNA". It matches the Rfam family "Bacterial small subunit ribosomal RNA", at positions 524 to 776 of the family's 1533-position model. The record is from RNAcentral.